CUCAGGGGAAAGAGGUCCUUCAGCCUGGAUUGCAAGAGGGCACAGGCCAGGCUGAAGGACCCCACUGGUGCAGG
Molecule: non-coding RNA, 74 nt
Organism: Myotis davidii
Lineage: Eukaryota; Metazoa; Chordata; Mammalia; Chiroptera; Vespertilionidae
Source: Rfam